UCAGGACGAACGCUGGCGGCGUGCCUAAUACAUGCAAGUCGAGCGGACAGAUGGGAGCUUGCUCCCUGAUGUUAGCGGCGGACGGGUGAGUAACACGUGGGUAACCUGCCUGUAAGACUGGGAUAACUCCGGGAAACCGGGGCUAAUACCGGAUGGUUGUUUGAACCGCAUGGUUCAGACAUAAAAGGUGGCUUCGGCUACCACUUACAGAUGGACCCGCGGCGCAUUAGCUAGUUGGUGAGGUAACGGCUCACCAAGGCGACGAUGCGUAGCCGACCUGAGAGGGUGAUCGGCCACACUGGGACUGAGACACGGCCCAGACUCCUACGGGAGGCAGCAGUAGGGAAUCUUCCGCAAUGGACGAAAGUCUGACGGAGCAACGCCGCGUGAGUGAUGAAGGUUUUCGGAUCGUAAAGCUCUGUUGUUAGGGAAGAACAAGUGCCGUUCAAAUAGGGCGGCACCUUGACGGUACCUAACCAGAAAGCCACGGCUAACUACGUGCCAGCAGCCGCGGUAAUACGUAGGUGGCAAGCGUUGUCCGGAAUUAUUGGGCGUAAAGGGCUCGCAGGCGGUUUCUUAAGUCUGAUGUGAAAGCCCCCGGCUCAACCGGGGAGGGUCAUUGGAAACUGGGGAACUUGAGUGCAGAAGAGGAGAGUGGAAUUCCACGUGUAGCGGUGAAAUGCGUAGAGAUGUGGAGGAACACCAGUGGCGAAGGCGACUCUCUGGUCUGUAACUGACGCUGAGGAGCGAAAGCGUGGGGAGCGAACAGGAUUAGAUACCCUGGUAGUCCACGCCGUAAACGAUGAGUGCUAAGUGUUAGGGGGUUUCCGCCCCUUAGUGCUGCAGCUAACGCAUUAAGCACUCCGCCUGGGGAGUACGGUCGCAAGACUGAAACUCAAAGGAAUUGACGGGGGCCCGCACAAGCGGUGGAGCAUGUGGUUUAAUUCGAAGCAACGCGAAGAACCUUACCAGGUCUUGACAUCCUCUGACAAUCCUAGAGAUAGGACGUCCCCUUCGGGGGCAGAGUGACAGGUGGUGCAUGGUUGUCGUCAGCUCGUGUCGUGAGAUGUUGGGUUAAGUCCCGCAACGAGCGCAACCCUUGAUCUUAGUUGCCAGCAUUCAGUUGGGCACUCUAAGGUGACUGCCGGUGACAAACCGGAGGAAGGUGGGGAUGACGUCAAAUCAUCAUGCCCCUUAUGACCUGGGCUACACACGUGCUACAAUGGACAGAACAAAGGGCAGCGAAACCGCGAGGUUAAGCCAAUCCCACAAAUCUGUUCUCAGUUCGGAUCGCAGUCUGCAACUCGACUGCGUGAAGCUGGAAUCGCUAGUAAUCGCGGAUCAGCAUGCCGC
RNAcentral lists this ribosomal RNA (1353 nucleotides) under Bacillus sp. (in: firmicutes). RNAcentral describes it as "bacterial SSU rRNA". It matches the Rfam family "Bacterial small subunit ribosomal RNA", at positions 24 to 1360 of the family's 1533-position model. Lineage: Bacteria; Bacillati; Bacillota; Bacilli; Caryophanales; Bacillaceae. The record is from RNAcentral.